This is a long non-coding RNA of Terrapene triunguis (Three-toed box turtle), 1991 nucleotides long. RefSeq lists it as uncharacterized. The transcript has 3 exons. The record is from RefSeq and is a predicted model, not a curated record. NCBI's taxonomy places the organism in Eukaryota, Metazoa, Chordata, Testudines, Emydidae.
AGGUGGUGAGACUUCCAUUUUCAUGGAGGACUAUGCAGACCAGGGGAUUGGCCUCACCUGCAGGUCGGAGGGAUGGUUCCCUGAGCCCCAGGUGCUCUGGUUAGACAGUAAAGGACAAAACCGACCAGAAAAGCCUACGACCAGCAACACAAAGACAUCUGUUGGAAUCUACAAUAUUGAAAGUGCCAUUAACAUAGAACCUGGCUCAGACAACGAAGUCUCCUGCAAAAUAAUCAAUAACAUACUAAAGACAGCGAGCGAGUCCAGAGUCCUAAUUUCAGAUGUUUUCUUCCCAACCACCUCCCCUUGGAUGGCUGCUUUCCUGGUCAUUUUAUUUCUUAGCAUAGCCCUUAUUGCUGCUGUAGGGUAUAAAUUGAAAAAUAAUAAUGACACAACAUCUCAAUCAGGUAAGUAACUAGGCAGGUGAAUGCAAAUUAAUAUGAACAUAUCUUAUAUCUUGAUUUUGACACAGUCCCAGAGAGCCUGUGGAAUUCCCAUCACUGGAGAGUUUUUAGAACAGGUUCGACAAACACUUGUCAGAGAUGGUCUCGGUUUACUUGGUCUUCCCUCAGCACGGAGGGUGGGACUGGAUGACUUCUCAAGGUCCCUUUCACCCCCUACAUUUCUCUGAUUUUAGAAUAAAAGUUUAACAUAUAGUUGCUGUUCUGAUCUGAGAAACUGUUUAUAAAUUACAGGAGAUGGGUGGGUUUGUUCUGUUUUAAUUGUGGUCAACAGCUGUGUGCUUUUAACGUUUGCAGUAUGCAUCCAAUGAUUUCAUAGGAGUUGGGGUUUAUAUUCAGGAAUUGAGCAACAGUGACUAUUGCCAUUAGUGGCUCAUUAGGAAAGUUUGUUUCCUUCUGUUAUAAACAGAUCUUGUUAUUAAAAUAGAUCACAUUCAGGCUAGCCUUCUGCCAUUCAUCCUUAUGUGGACAUUGUUCCAGAAUCAUUAACAGUUGUAGAAAAGGGUUGCUCAUCUACAUGAUAUAGACUGGGUAAAGUAUAAAAUUCAAGGCCUUUUAUAACAUAGGCAUUGGAAACAGGAGUGAUUACCUCCUGCUGGUUGUCUGCCUUGGAAUUAUGUUUGGCCAUAGUGGAUUUGCUCUUGGUCCACAAGAUUCAUUCAGGACUAGGGAAAGACCUGGACUUAUUUAAAAAGCUGGGUGAGCAUCUAGCUCCUCUGAUCACUCAUUUCUCUUGUGGGUAUUCAUGGGGUAUCCUAGAAAUUUCAGCAUCCCAUAAUAUUUCUCUGGUAAAAAAAAAUCUUCCUCAAUUAAAGUUUCACUUUAGUCUUCUUCAGCAGAUUUUAAGUCUCAUGAUUGGUUCUAUUUAUUUCACUUCACCGACACUUAAUUGUUUUGGACUCCUUCCUUAAUUUUUCAGAUCUCCCAAAACUUCACUCUGAUGCCCCACUUUUCCCACCCCAAUCUUUGUACCAGUUGAUAUCUGAUCCUAUUCACUGAUGGCUUUGUCUGGCUCACUCAGAAGCUGUCCUGUAAAGUCAGAGGAUGUGGGUUGGGGGGAUAUGCUGAGGCAAGGGGUCUCUAUAAGCAUCCUGACAUUUUCACAGAUGACAGGCCAUCCGUUGCUUUAUGUCGUCAGAUUCUCUGCAUAAUCAGUGAACUGGAAGAAACCAUCUUCCAAUACAGUGAAUGAGGAGAUGAUCUUCAAGUGAAACAAUUUGUUCCUGUCUCCUAAAGCAGGUUUUUCCUAAAUGGAGAGAAUCUGGUCCUGUAUUUUAAAGCUGUUUUGUGGUUGAAAUAAGGCCUUGGGAAACUUAUAAGAGUAAUUAACAUUGCAAUGUGAUUCCAUGUAUUUGCAGUAACUGAGAAGAAUACAAUGGAAGAAGGUAAAUAUAUUUUUGAUGUGAUAUAACAUAAGGUGUUAGGAGUAUUUCCAUGAGUCAGAUUCAUGGCGACAGUAUUACAUAGCAUGCUGAAAUUUUCCAAGACAUUAACCACAGAGGUAUCAGUCCUUACCCAGGUAAAGGAAUC